AAUUAUGUCGUAUAACACCUGAGACAUUUUAGUAAAAAGAUCGGACACAAAAAGGGACGUCUCAAACCCAGCUAACUGGUUUAUUUCUCGACCAUCCUAUAUCAUGAUAGCUUCACGAAUGACUUGCCCACUGGCGCCACACUGGCCUCGCUGUUUUCAACGGUUCUCAGGUUGCCGGGGCGGCUUGUUUGAACUGUUUGAACCACAGGUUUGAACUGUUUCAACGGGAGUCAUGGCAGAUCCACUUGGAGGCUUAUUUAAACCAAAGUCCCGCUGGCGGGAAAAGAUAACGGACGGAGCAGCACUGCGUGGCCUCGCAAUCCCAGCGACCCGACGAGCUCGCAGUGGUGCUCGGAAGACGACCCUCCCAAAGCCGACGACGCGCACUCGCGCGUACAUGCGCAAGCGAUCACCUCUGUGGACAGCGAAGAAACAUCGUCGCACUGUGACAACUUUGUUGGCGUUCGUUUCAUAAAACCCGUUCUAUAAGGAGCUUGUGUCCACCCUGAAAGGCCUGGCGAGCCACGUGCUCGUAUUCAAGCUGGUGCCACGAGGUGGGCCUUUCGGGCAUGCCAGGGAGGAUGAGAGGCUGUCCCUGAACCGCCUACUAGUACGGAAGGUGUUGCCCUCGGCGUUACCAUCAUGAAUGUCGACCGACUGAAAUGUAUUCUAUUACACCUGUUCUUUUAUAAGCACUCAGCGAUGGAUACAGUUGUAGACAGGUCAAAAAAGCAUGUGUUUAGGUCGGUAAGUUCCUUGAAAGUUCGAAAAUCCAAAAAAAUAAGUAAUUAUGUCAGGAAUAUAACAAGAUAGAUUAAAAAAAGAGUAUACCAUUUGUGAAAGUAACAUGUAUAGAAGGCAGUUUUAAACUGACAGAGUUUGAAACUGCCUCUAUGCAUUGGGAAGUUCUGAAACAUUUUUGAUAAGAAACUAUUCAAAUCACUUCUUAAAACCACAGUGAACUUGGCACACGAGGACCGGUCCCCAAGGAGAACAGAAAUUUAACUCAGAAGGCGAGCGCGAGUACUGCACCUUGAUGUCUGUGUUUACAGUUAGAUCCUCCCCUGACUAAACGAAAGUGGACCCCAAUAAUAAGCAACCAGCCCCAUAAAACAUUUGCAAUGAGUUAACAACCCCACUCCCUGCACGUACACACCCACACACAAAAAAAUAUAGCUGCACAAUUAGAUCUAAAAUACUGACCCCUACCUAAACCUAUAAUGUUCAUUGGCUGCUUCCCAGUUAGACAUGUGUGUCCUGUGUGGUUCCAAGGAGUGGUCACAACCCAACUUUGUUUUAUGCUAUGAAUUAAUUCAUUCGCUGAUGUUUCAGUACCUCUUCUCAACCGAGGCAACAUGGUCAACCUCGACAAGCUGGCUACUGACCAGUACCACGUGUGCCGUGUCCGCGGCAUCUAGCGUCUUGCAUUUGCGCUCGGCAAGGCACUCGCAAAACUUUAUGGUAAUUCUAUCCUUGGUGGGUGCUGUGCCCCAUUCUAACCUUUCGAAGGCCACAGGUGUUUAAGAUGUGGAGCCUGUGGCCAGUGGGGAGGUGUAUGUCUCCAAUUUGCCGGACCCUAGCACUAGCUAAGUUACCGCCGAAUUCACAAACCUCAUUUCAAUUGAGGCGCCCCUCCACUUCCUCAAGGAAGGUGUGAGGGCCGGUGCUGGGGAGGGGCCAGUCGCGACGACAAAUAGGCGGCCUAGGCUGCUUAGCCGUCCUCGCGAUUGGCCAGUGCCGUCCCUCGUGCCUUCCUUGAGGAAGUGGGGGGGUGCCUCAAUUGGAAUAAAGGUUUGUGAAUUCGGCAGUUAGUGUCUCUUUUCCCCUAUGUGCAAUCCCAGCCAUUAUGAGCUAGAAUGAAGAGCUUUCCUACAAGAACCUUUCUAAUCCGUUAUUUCAAAGUUUGUUUAUUUCUAAAGAGCAUCUCAGUGCCUGCAUUUUGAUGUCAUAAUACUCUACUCUAAGAUCUCAAAAGGUAGUCCACCCCUAUUUUUGGCUUGAUUUGCUUUACUUUUUGAACACCGAAAGAUAGACUACUUCUAGUAAUAGUAGUGUU
Ixodes scapularis (black-legged tick) is the source of this 2056-nucleotide long non-coding RNA. RefSeq lists it as uncharacterized. The transcript is spliced from 4 exons. The record is from RefSeq and is a predicted model, not a curated record. NCBI's taxonomy places the organism in Eukaryota, Metazoa, Arthropoda, Arachnida, Ixodida, Ixodidae.